UGACUGCGUACCUUUUGUAUAAUGGGUCAGCGACUUAUAUUCUGUAGCAAGGUUAACCGAAUAGGGGAGCCGAAGGGAAACCGAGUCUUAACUGGGCGUUAAGUUGCAGGGUAUAGACCCGAAACCCGGUGAUCUAGCCAUGGGCAGGUUGAAGGUUGGGUAACACUAACUGGAGGACCGAACCGACUAAUGUUGAAAAAUUAGCGGAUGACUUGUGGCUGGGGGUGAAAGGCCAAUCAAACCGGGAGAUAGCUGGUUCUCCCCGAAAGCUAUUUAGGUAGCGCCUCGUGAAUUCAUCUCCGGGGGUAGAGCACUGUUUCGGCAAGGGGGUCAUCCCGACUUACCAACCCGAUGCAAACUGCGAAUACCGGAGAAUGUUAUCACGGGAGACACACGGCGGGUGCUAACGUCCGUCGUGAAGAGGGAAACAACCCAGACCGCCAGCUAAGGUCCCAAAGUCAUGGUUAAGUGGGAAACGAUGUGGGAAGGCCCAGACAGCCAGGAUGUUGGCUUAGAAGCAGCCAUCAUUUAAAGAAAGCGUAAUAGCUCACUGGUCGAGUCGGCCUGCGCGGAAGAUGUAACGGGGCUAAACCAUGCAC
RNAcentral lists this ribosomal RNA (599 nucleotides) under Escherichia coli. RNAcentral describes it as "partial 23S ribosomal RNA". It matches the Rfam family "Bacterial large subunit ribosomal RNA", at positions 594 to 1194 of the family's 2925-position model. The record is from RNAcentral. Lineage: Bacteria; Pseudomonadati; Pseudomonadota; Gammaproteobacteria; Enterobacterales; Enterobacteriaceae.